This 503-nucleotide non-coding RNA is filed under the name Pan troglodytes (chimpanzee). The record is from RNAcentral. Lineage: Eukaryota; Metazoa; Chordata; Mammalia; Primates; Hominidae.
AUGGGCUCAAGGACAGCUUGCCUGACUGCAGCCAUAAGGAUGAAGCCUCUUCAGGUAGAGAAGGACUCCAGGUCAUUUGGCCAAUUUAAUGCCGGCAGAAGAGGCCACCAUCUGCAUGUAAUUUAUCUCCUCUUUCAUCUCCUUUCAUUCCCCUCCUCCUUUUUUUUUUUUUUUUGGGACAGAGUCUCACUCUGUUGCCCAGGCUGGAGUGCAGUGGCGUGAUCUUGGCUCACUGCAAGCUUUGCCUCCCAGGCCCACGCCAUUCUCCUGCCUCAGCCUCCUGAGUAGCUGGGACUACAGGCACCCGCCACCAGGCCCAGCUAAUUUUUUGUGUUUUCAGUAGAGACGGGGUUUCACCGUGUCUAUGUGACACUCCAGGAUUUUAGCAGAUAUACAAGUGAAAAACCAUGUUGCUAAAAAGUAUUUCCCAUCUUCCAAUUUUCUUAUCGUCAUCUGGGAAAUAAAAUCUGUAUGUACUUGGGAAUAAAAUUUAUUGAAUUAUC